This is a long non-coding RNA of Oncorhynchus keta (chum salmon), 3174 nucleotides long. RefSeq lists it as uncharacterized. The record is from RefSeq and is a predicted model, not a curated record. The transcript is spliced from 3 exons. Lineage: Eukaryota; Metazoa; Chordata; Actinopteri; Salmoniformes; Salmonidae.
ACAGUUUCUUUUCCAUAUAUUUGUCUUUAUAUAAGAACAUAUUGUUAAAUAGGAAUAAAUAAUUUAAGCUGUUUUUAGAUUGACGUUGCUAGCUACUGUUACUGUACUUAUUUACCUCAGCCUGCCUAGUCAGCUAGCUAGCCAGCCAGACAGUUUUAUUUAGCUAAUGUUAGCUAGCUAGCUAGCUACUGUAACUGUUAUUGUAGCUUUUUGUUUGUAUGUAGCUUGCACUUACUUCAUUGGCAUCCCUCGAAGAGUUUCUUUUAUCUUUCUAAUCAGGCAAAGUACUAUGACGGCACCACUGAUCUCGACAAAAGGCGCAACAUUCAGAGAAAUUCGGGGUAACGUCAAAUAACAAGAGAGUGGAAGACAUACAGAGAGCGAUAGAGAAAGACAGAAGUGCAAAUGUACUUAGACUUGAGUAUUUCAACAACUCUUCUCUUCCAACUUGUUUGGCAAGCAUAUGUACCUACGGGGGAAGGAUGGCAAGCUAUACAGGAGGGUGAUUUUUAAGGAGGAAAAGGAGGCCGUGCUGAUCGAGAUGCAUGCUGGCCAUUACGGAGUGAAGCGCAUGAUUGCCAAAUCAACCUACGCUUCUUCUGAUGGGGAAUUGUCAAGGAGUACCCUGUCGAGCCUGCAAGAAGUUUGAGAAGGCAAAGACUGGCAUCAAAGUUGUUUCACCAAGGCACAUGAUCGGGGUGGACCUCAUCGGAUCCUUCACGAAAUACAGAAAUGGCAACAGCUGGUGUCUGACCCGACCGAUCACUUUACCAAGUGGGUGGAGGCAAUAACCAUUAACAUCAGUCAAGGAAGAGUAUGUGUUCAACUCUAAAUUCCAUUCCGUAACCCAUUAAAAAGGGUGCUUGGAACCAAAAAUAGAUUUUCAUUUUGUAUGAUACCCAUCAAGGACAAGACUGGUAAGGCCACCUCCAAGGCCAUGAUUGACAUCUUCAACACCCACAGUUCUCCUGAGAUCAUCAUGAGUGACGAGAUAAUGAACGCUGGAACAAGGCACACACCUGUCUAUUUAAGGCCCCACAGUUAACAGUGCAUGUCAGAGGAAAAACCAAGCCAUGCCGUAGAGCUCCGGGACAGGAUCGUGUUGAGGCACUGAUCUGGGAAAGCGUGCCAAACAAUGUCUGCAGCAUUGAAGGUCCCCAAGAAUUAAGUGGAACCAAUAAGACUCUUAUUAGAGCUGUCUGCCCAGCCAAACUGAGCAAUCGGGGUAGAAGGUCCUUGGUGAGGGAGUGGACCAAGAACCCAAUGGUCACUCUGACAGAGCUUCAGAGUUCCUAUGUGCAGAUGGGAGAACCUUCUAGAAGGACAACCAUCUCUGCAGCACUCCACCAAUUAGGCAUUUAUGGUAGAGAGUGGCCAGACGGAAGCCACUCCUCAGUAAAAGGCUCAUGACAGCCAGCUUGGAGUUUGCCAAAACGCACCUAAAGAACGCAGACCUUGAUCUGAUUACAUAAAAAAAUUGAACUCUUUGGCCUGAAUGCCAAGAGUCACAUCUGGAUGAAAUUUGGCACCAUCCCUACGGUGAGACAUGGUGGUGGCAACAUCGUGCUGUGGGGAUGUUUUUCAGUGGCAGGAUCGAAGGAAAGAUGAAUGGAGCAAAGUACAGAGGGCUCCUUGACGAAAGCACUCCAGAGUGCUCAAGACCUCAGACUGGGGCAAAUGUUCACCUUCCAACAAGACAACAACCCUAAACAUACAGCCAAGGCAAUGCAGGAGUGGCUUCGGGACAAGUCUCUAAAUGUCCUUGAGUGCCCCAGACAGAGUCCGGACUUGGACCCGAUCGAACUUCUCUGGAGAGUCGUGAAAAUAGCUGUGCAGUGACGCUCGCCAUCCAACCUGACAGAGCUUGAGAGGACCUGCAGAGAAGAAUGGGAGAAACUCCCCAAAUACAGAUGUGCCAAGCUUGUAGUGUCAUACCUGUCACUUUCUGACCUUUAUUUCCUUUGUUUUGUCUUUAUUUAGUAUGGUCAGGGCGUGAGUUGGGGUGGGCAGUCUGUGUGUUUUUCUAUGUUGGGGUUUUGAGUUCAGCCUAGUAUGGUUCUCAAUCAGAGGCAGGUGUCGUUAGUUGUCUCUGAUUGAGAAUCAUACCUAGGUAGCCUGGGUUUCACUUUUGAGUUGUGGGUGUUUGUUUUCCAUGUGUGUGUUUGUUGCCACACGCUACUGGCUUGGUUUCGUUCAUGUUCACGUUUAUUGUUUUGUAUUCUCAUAGUGUUCAGUUUAUAUCUUAAAAUAAACAUUAUGGACACUUACCACGCUGGGCAUUGGUCCUCCGAUCCUUCUUAUCCUUCUUUUUAUCCUUCUUCUUCUUAUUACUUAUGUAAAUGUAAUAUUUCAUUUUUUUAAAGUUUGCAAAACAUUUCUGAACCUGUUUUUGCUUUGUCAUUAUGCGUUAUUGUGUGUGGUAUGAUGAGGGGUAAAAAAAUAUUAAUACAUUUUGGAGCAAUACUGUAACGUAACGACAUGUGGAAAAAGUCAAGGGGUCUGAAUACUUUCCGGAUGCACUGUAGUACACAGUAGGCUACUUUAGAAGAAAUGUCUGCAUCCAAAUGUUCUACUGUAUUUUAGGGAAAAUAUAUCAAUGUCAUUUACUUUUAUUCAUCAUUUUUUCAAAAAGAAUGAAAUAUGAUUUGCAGUGUUGGAAGAAAUGAAAAUCACAAGAUGCUGGCAAGUAUAAUGUGAUACUGCCAACUUGUGGUCAUUGUGGAACACAACACCUGUAAUGUUUUCUCGAAACGUGUUUAGGUUUUUUGCAAGAGCUCUAGGCCAGAAUUGACAUUAUAAUGGAAUACAUUUGAGGCUCUGAAUAUAUCCUAGAAGAAAAAAGUAACAUGCAUGAACAAUGAAGAGAGAUACCGGUAAAGUACAUAUGAACUUUACCGGUGUGGUAGAUUGUUUUACUACUUUUUAAACCAAGUAUACUCAGUACACUACUUCUAUUGUGCGAUAGUGUAUACAAGGGCACACUUCUGGAGAAGUUUGGCGAAGCGGUGGCUGUGUCCUUUGAAGCCCUAAAAACACCUCACUUUCAGCUUCACCCCACACUGACACAUUUGGUGGAGAAUGCAGGCCCAACACUAGAGGACAUGAGAACAAAAACACUUACGGAGGUUCCCCCAUUACAGUGGACAAUGACCCUAAAACAGUCAUUAAGGGGGU